GUAGUUGGAUCUUGGGAUCAAGCCUAUGGUCCGCCAUGAGGCAAGCUACCGUCUGUCCCAGCCCGUGCCUCUAGGCGCUACUUUGAUGCUCUUAGCUAAGUGGCCCAUGGUGACUGAAGCCUUUACUUUGAAAUAUUCGAGUUCAAAGCUUGCAGUCACCACAGCUAGCAAAGAUGGAAUAGGAUUCUGUCCCUUUGUGUGCUUUUUCUCUGAACUGCAGCCACGAUUUACAGGGAUGUCCAUGAGCAAUGCUAUUGGUCUGCUAGAGGUGAAAUUCCUGGACCACUACAAGAUGAUGGACAAAGCAACUGCAUUUGCCAAGAAUGUUUUCAUUAAUUUG
RNAcentral lists this non-coding RNA (340 nucleotides) under Oreochromis niloticus (Nile tilapia). RNAcentral describes it as "Eukaryotic small subunit ribosomal RNA". It matches the Rfam family "Eukaryotic small subunit ribosomal RNA", at positions 630 to 980 of the family's 1831-position model. The record is from Rfam by way of RNAcentral. Lineage: Eukaryota; Metazoa; Chordata; Actinopteri; Cichliformes; Cichlidae.